AUCGGUUUUUUUAUUAGGUACCAAUUGAAACUGUUGCUAUUUCAAAUUUAUAACCAUUUGAGUCUAGUAUGGUCGGUGUCGGCACAAGAACCACCUUUUAAACAAAUAAUAAUAAUAAUAAUAAUAAUAAUAAUAAAGAAAGAAGAAAAAUGCGAGAGAAAGGGAGAAAGAAGAGAAGUCGACCGGGAAAAGGCCGUUGGAUCCAGGGUUUCCAUGGAGAGGACUUUAUGGAUCUGUGGUUUGGAUGUGGGUUUCUUUUUUUUUCUUUUUUCUGGAUGCCGCUGGUGUUGAUGGAGGUGCUGGAGUCCAGUAAAUAUUUCGGCGCUAGAGCAUGAUGUCUCCUUAAAACUGAUCCAUGACUAUUAUAGACUGCAACUGUCAUGAGCCAACACUCUUCUUCAUUUCAUGCCAUGGACAAUUCUGGAUUGCCCGGAUCAGAGUGGGAAGCCUAUGGUUUGUAUGGAUGCUGGGUCAAUGAGCGAUAUUGAAGUGUUGUUAUGUUGUAGUGUCAAUUUUGAAUGAUUGUUUGAACAGUUUUUGCGGCUGUGCCUGUUUCUAUUUGUUUUCCCAGCGUGUUUGCUCUGCUUGUUUUCUUCUUCUAUUAAUGCAAGCUUGGUUGGGCGGUUUUGACUUUGUGCAUGAUUCUCAAGGCAAGCGACAGCACAGUGAGUCUGGCAUCUGUGGCAGUGAGUACCUGCAUGUUUGCAACGUGUCCAAUCUGAAUGUUGGGUUGUGGACUUUGUGGGUUCCUAUGCUUUGUUAGGCUUUUAUUAUGUUCAAGUUUGUUGCUUGUAGCUCUGUUGCAGCUCUGUUGUCCGACGGGUUUUCUAAUGCAAUAAAAAAAUAAGAAGUCAGCAGGAGAACAUUAAUCUGUUGACGAGGUUGCUCUUC
Molecule: long non-coding RNA, 891 nt
Organism: Manihot esculenta (cassava)
Lineage: Eukaryota; Viridiplantae; Streptophyta; Magnoliopsida; Malpighiales; Euphorbiaceae
Exons: 2
Source: RefSeq, a predicted model, not a curated record